Molecule: non-coding RNA, 29 nt
Filed under: Rattus norvegicus (Norway rat)
Lineage: Eukaryota; Metazoa; Chordata; Mammalia; Rodentia; Muridae
Source: RNAcentral
UUUGAAGAGUGCACAAAGAGUUUAAAUGC